This 497-nucleotide ribosomal RNA is filed under the name uncultured bacterium. Its description in RNAcentral is "partial 16S ribosomal RNA". It matches the Rfam family "Bacterial small subunit ribosomal RNA", at positions 28 to 507 of the family's 1533-position model. The record is from RNAcentral.
GAUGAACGCUGGCGGCGUGCCUAAUACAUGCCAGUCGAGCGAACGGACGAGAAUCUUGCUUCUCUGAUGUUAGCGGCGGACGGGUGAGUAACACGUGGAUAACCUACCUAUAAGACUGGGAUAACUUCGGGAAACCGUAGCUAAUACCGGAUAAUAUUUUGAACCGCAUGGUUCAAAAGUGAAAGACGGUCUUGCUGUCACUUAUAGAUGGAUCCGCGCUGCAUUAGCUAGUUGGUAAGGUAACGGCUUACCAAGGCAACGAUGCAUAGCCGACCUGAGAGGGUGAUCGGCCACACUGGAACUGAGCCACGGUCCAGACUCCUACGGGAGGCAGCAGUAGGGAAUCUUCCGCAAUGGGCGAAAGCCUGACGGAGCAACGCCGCGUGAGUGAUGAAGGUCUUCGGAUCGUAAAACUCUGUUAUUAGGGAAGAACAUAUGUGUAAGUAACUGUGCACAUCUUGACGGUACCUAAUCAGAAAGCCACGGCUAACUACGUG